UAGGGAAUCUUCGGCAAUGGACGGAAGUCUGACCGAGCAACGCCGCGUGAGUGAAGAAGGUUUUCGGAUCGUAAAGCUCUUUUGUUAGAGAAGAACGUUGGUAGGAGUGGAAAAUCUACCAAGUGACGGUAACUAACCAGAAAGGGACGGCUAACUACGUGCCAGCAGCCGCGGUAAUACGUAGGUCCCGAGCGUUGUCCGGAUUUAUUGGGCGUAAAGCGAGCGCAGGCGGUUCUUUAAGUCUUAAGUUAAAGGCACUGGCUUAACCAUUGUACUCUUUUGAAACUGGAGGACUUGAGUGCAGAAGGAGGGAGUGGAAUUCCAGUUGUAGCGGUGAAAUGCGUAGAUAUAUGGAGGAACACCGGUGGCGAAAGCGGCUUUCUGGUCUGUAACUGACGCUGAGGCUCGAAAGCGUUGGGAGCAAACAGG
RNAcentral lists this ribosomal RNA (429 nucleotides) under Bacillota bacterium. RNAcentral describes it as "Firmicutes bacterium partial 16S ribosomal RNA". It matches the Rfam family "Bacterial small subunit ribosomal RNA", at positions 355 to 776 of the family's 1533-position model. The record is from RNAcentral. Lineage: Bacteria; Bacillati; Bacillota.